UACGGAGGGGGCGAGCGUUAUUCGGAAUUAUUGGGCGUAAAGGGCGCGUAGGCGGCUUGAUGUGUCAAAGGUGAAAUCCCUCGGCUCAACUGAGGAACUGCCUUUGAAACUGUCUGGCUUGAGGCCGGGAGAGGGUAGCGGAAUUCCCAGUGUAGCGGUGAAAUGCGUAGAUAUCUGGAGGAACACCGGUGGCGAAGGCGGCAUCCUGGACCGGUAUUGACGCUGAUGCGCGAAAGCCAGGGGAGCAAACGGG
This 253-nucleotide ribosomal RNA is filed under the name uncultured bacterium. Its description in RNAcentral is "partial 16S ribosomal RNA". It matches the Rfam family "Bacterial small subunit ribosomal RNA", at positions 524 to 776 of the family's 1533-position model. The record is from RNAcentral.